GAAACGAGGACGACUAACGGUAUAUUAACUCCACAAAAACUACGCAAUUCAAGAUGACUACUCCAAAUAUGUGCAAGAAGGUCAAGCUCACAUUCACCAAGAAGACAAAGAAGGGAACGGAGCCCUAGUCCUAAGCCAACAAAGCUUCAUAUUGGAAAACUGACUAAAAAUGUCACAAAAGACCAUGUUCAAGAGAUAUUUUCAUAUUUCGGAAAGGUUAGUAUUCAUUUCUGUCUGCACAUUGACACUUUAGCAUGUAGGUCAAUAUCACAAUAUCUUUUUAUAAUAUACUCAAAACAUUGAUUCUUAUUUCGAGCACACAAUCAUAGAAACCCUUUAAUAUAGAGUAAUUUACUAUUCUAGAAUACUUAAAAUCGAAUCCAGAAUACCGAAUCCUAUUCUAUUUUUAUUGUUAUUUAAAUAUGGGAAUUUUCCCACCAUAUUGAUGCAUUACAAUUUGAAAAUAGCAAAAUUGAUCGGAUUUUACUUUUACUCGGAAAUUAAUUUCUGCCUUGAUUUGUUCAGAAUUUAUGUGAUUCCUAAAUACUUACAAUAAAAUAAAUAAAUACAUUUUACACUUUAUUACAAAUUGUAAAAUACAAAUUAUAUGUAUGAAAAAACAUUGAAUCAUUAUUAAUGUGAGAGCGCAGAAAACACACAGGUCAGACCGAGGCCACUGCAAUUUAUGCGGUGUUCUUGGUAGGGCGCGUUGAUUAAUGGUGGAAACUAAAUUUAACGACUAUCAAGUAUGUCAAAUCUUAAUUCUCGUUAUAUAUCUACCCAGACUUAACGAUACGCGUUGCAUAAUGUUCACCAAUAGUUAAGGCCGGUAUGAGAACUGUGAACUUCCUUUUUUUUACUUUAUCGUUUACUAAAAUAGCGCCCGACACUUGACCAAACAUGUGUCGAGCUUGGACGAUAGGAACAGACAGGUUCAUCGGCGACUCGAAGUUUGAAAAAUGUGUAUUUUAUUGAGAGUACAAAAGAAAUGUAACAAAACGCCACGUUCUGCAUUAUAACUUUGUAUUGUUGGAGGCGUCGUAAACAGUUAAAUUUGAUCUAAAUUUAAUCGCUAGUAAUGAUUUUAACAUCUAACGUAGGGUGCAUAUCGUUUUCCGGGGGAACUCGAAGGCUGCGAGAGUCAUUUAAUUUAAAAUGAAGAAUGUUUCACGUAUUCCAAAAAUUUAAGAUUGUUGCAAACAUGUAAUCGAAAUAAUAAAUAUUAAAUAUCAAUAAUAUCAAUAAUAAAUAUUAAUAUUAGCGAACUAGAUAGUAAAAAAACGCAAAAAUGGUGCAAUAACGCGGUCUUCGCGUUAUGGAUAUGCAAGCUGGGUUUAACGGUGUUUGAUGUCUGUGGUUUUUGCAGGUUCUUUGCGGGAAAACACACAAGUAUGAUCAAACGAGAGAGAUUUUGUCGUGAGAGAAUACGAUCGUCGCUGAUUAAUAAAUUAGAAAUCCAAAAUACAGAAAUUGACUCACGGCGUCGAAAAGGCGGAAACCGAAUCCUGCUAUCGGAUCCUUUUGGAUUCGAAUACUUCAGGAUUUGGUAUUCUGCUUUGCCCAUCCCUAUAUAGGCUUACCAUAUAUAUAAAAAAAAACGGGAUAGUGCGGAUUUGACAUUGGUCCGAUUCAGAGACUUAGUAGUAUAGUAAUAUUCAACUCGUAUAUGAAUAUUAGUAAUAUUCAAAUAAUUGGAAAACGUGCACAGUGCACUUCCUUUUCAGCAUUUUGAAUAGUUUAGCAGCAUUACAGCUAAUUUUUGAUGCUAUGUUGAAUUGACGUAUUGCAUUAUGUAUAAUAAUUAUAACAUACCAAUAUAGUACAGUGGUUCCCAACCUCGUCAAAUUCGCCUAUUUUGGAACUUUAUUCCUUUAUUUACAUUUUAUUUCUUUAUUUACAUUUUAUUGAUAUUAAGUGAAGUAUUUGUGACUGCCAUACUGCAUGACCGAGACAUGUCUACCGGCCGGGGCGCUGGGACAGCUUGUCAAAAUUUGGACUGUCCCAGCUAAACCGGGAUGUACAGUAAGUCUGCAUAUAUGGCCAAAUCAAAAAAUAUUCUUAUAUUAAUAAUCCUUUGAUCCUUUGUGCCGAAACCACGGCAAGUUGGGCAUUAAGGGUACGGUAACUAAUAAGGCAACAAUAUUCAAAAUGGUUCUCUGGUCUCCACCAAGACGACGGUCACCACCAAGAAGACGUCGACAAAGAUCAAGCUCAAGUGAUUCGCGUUGAAAAUUUUCCAUCUGAUAACAACAACAGUCGAAUUUUUCGGGCGAUUUUAUAAUUCAAGAUGUCUUACAGAAUGUUAGCGCUGUGCCAGUCUGCAGAGAAUGGAAGGAUGUGAACUUUUUUUUAUCAUUUUUCAUUUUAUUGGGUCUAGUGUAUUAAAAUUGAAUAAUAUUGAAUGUGAAACAUUUUUUUCUGGUUAUUUCAUUAAACAAAUAUGACGGUG
Styela clava is the source of this 2449-nucleotide non-coding RNA. The record is from RefSeq and is a predicted model, not a curated record. Lineage: Eukaryota; Metazoa; Chordata; Ascidiacea; Stolidobranchia; Styelidae.